CGGUAUUAGAAACUUGUGGGUGUGGGGGGCCAUUCUUUUACAGAUUUCAUCACAUUAUUCCUCGAAGAAGUGAAGGAAUCCAUUGUUUAUGAAAAAUUUCAGUAUCAAUAACUUUAAAAUAGACUUUACAGCGCCUCUCUGUGGAUGAGAAUUUUAGGAGAAAUAGAGAAGAAGUAGAAGAAGGAAGCGGGAGAUUUGGCAAAAGAAAUAGGGUUUUAG
RNAcentral lists this long non-coding RNA (219 nucleotides) under Solanum tuberosum (potato). RNAcentral's name for it is "long non-coding RNA (STUB_LNC007909)". The record is from RNAcentral. Lineage: Eukaryota; Viridiplantae; Streptophyta; Magnoliopsida; Solanales; Solanaceae.